UUUUUCCAAAGAGGCUUCAUCUUCCAAAAUAAAACUAGGACUGGCUUAUUCUCUUUUUUUUUAAUUGGAAAGUUUGAAAAAAAUGGUGAGAAAAGAUAGGAGAUUGAUGUUUUGAAAUAAUAUUUUACCUACUAAGGAACGAUUUGAAGACAAAGGAAAAUCUGCUAGAACUGUUGAACUCUAUGAACACCAAGGAAUAUCAGCUAUUCAAUAAUGUCACUUUAAUACUCACUUUACUCUGAUCAUAUAGACUGGAAAUAGGGAGAAAGAGAGAGAGAAGGAUCCCAGCACCAUUUAGAUGUAUUUUUGUUGAUCUCACUCCUCCCAGUUUAAAAACACAGAAACUGUUUUCUGCGAACUGUUUCAUCACUGACUUGCCUGCACUCCAGCGGAAACUUCCAGCACAUAACAGAUCACAUUGCUCGACCCGCCGUGAGGAAGCCCUCGGCGGGCUUACCUGGCAAGUAAACAGAGAGCCCUAGAAGAAAGACAACACUGAUGAAGGAGUUGAAUGUCAAAGAUGGUGAAAAGUGGUGUCGCCUUCUCUCUGAAGCAAAGAACCAUUGAAGUGACAGAUGGGGAGUCACCCAGCAACGUGAGUCCCCAGGAAUUCCCCAGGAGUUCCUUGAUUCAGCUCCCCACUGUGUAUCUUCUAACGAUGCCUAAGUGGGAAAGGAUGAGAUGGCUUACCUCCUGCUUUGCCCUUUCUUCUGGGAGGACUCUCUGUGAAGUGACAGAUUAUCUGAUGAAGCCAUUCAUAAUAGCAGGGCUCAGGCUUUCCUCUCGGGACCCACACGCACGAUUCUUCUGGAGGCCUCACCUGGACCCGAGCAGCAGUUCUCGCCCUAUGAGACCCCUCAGACCCCAGGACAGGAACGGCUUUUCUAUACCCAGGCCGCCCGCAUGCCUCCCUCCUCACUGACUGUUGCUGUUGAGGCAACUUGGGAACACAUCAAUACUUCCUCCCCGACAAGAGAGCACUACUGAAGAUGCUAAAGGAGAAGUGUGUUGCCAGAUGACCUUCUGAGGUCUCCUGAAGGAGCAUGCAGAGAGGGAAUCCACCUCAGCAAGGCUGGUCUCUGUGAACAGGAGCAGGAAAUAAUGUUUGCUGUGACCUACUAUGGACCAGGGGGACUGCAGACACUUUAUUUAGUCUUGCCCCACAGACUUGACAGAACUAAUCACCUUCGGGCUUCCUUGGUGGCCCAGUUGUUAAGAAUCCGCCUGCCAAUGCAGGAGACAUGGGUUCAAGCCCUGGUCUGGGAAGAUCCCACAUGCCGCGGAGCAACUAAGCCCGUGCACUGCAACUACUGAGCCUGAGCUCCGCAACAAGAGAAGCCACCACAAUAAGAAGUCUGAGCACUGCAGUGAAGAGUAGCCCCCGCUCUCCACAGCUACAGAAAGCUCCCACGCAGCCAUGAAGACCCAACGCAGCCAAUAAAUAAAAAUAAAUAAAGAACUAAUCAUCCUCUAACAUGAUUUAUUUUAUUUAUGUUUGUUGUUUAUUGUCUACUACCCUGUAGUAGGAGCGGGGCAGGCGUGAGCUAUAGCAGCCCCGCUCAGCCAUGGGUUGGUGCUGCAGUGGGCCCUGCCCCUUCCCUCUCUUCUGUAUAAAAGGAGCCUGAAUUCAGGCUGAAGGAAGAUGCUUUUUUUGAGACACUAGUCUGUCAUUUUCUCGGGCUGCUAGCUUUCUGAUUAAAAUUGUUAUUGC
Molecule: long non-coding RNA, 1711 nt
Organism: Hippopotamus amphibius kiboko
Lineage: Eukaryota; Metazoa; Chordata; Mammalia; Artiodactyla; Hippopotamidae
Exons: 6
Source: RefSeq, a predicted model, not a curated record